This is a long non-coding RNA of Erpetoichthys calabaricus (reedfish), 274 nucleotides long. RefSeq lists it as uncharacterized. The record is from RefSeq and is a predicted model, not a curated record. NCBI's taxonomy places the organism in Eukaryota, Metazoa, Chordata, Cladistia, Polypteriformes, Polypteridae. The transcript is spliced from 2 exons.
GGAGGACACCAGAAAUGAGUGGAAUGUGAGUUUAAUAGUGAAGCCAGGAAGCACUUCUUUAUGUGAAGAGUUGUAGGAAUCGGGAACAAACCACCGAGACGUGGGCUUGAAGCAGAAACCUGGACCUGAAUGAGCAGCUUGGGCAGCUUGGCUAUUAGCUAAACAAAUGCAAGGUCUCCUCUGGUUUUUGUCAAAUUUCUUACAUUCUUGUGUUUUUCUAUGGAUGUCCUACAUAAGCAUGGAGAGGAGAAAUCACAUUAAGUACAACAGAAUC